RNAcentral lists this ribosomal RNA (955 nucleotides) under Limosilactobacillus fermentum. RNAcentral describes it as "bacterial SSU rRNA". It matches the Rfam family "Bacterial small subunit ribosomal RNA", at positions 35 to 972 of the family's 1533-position model. Lineage: Bacteria; Bacillati; Bacillota; Bacilli; Lactobacillales; Lactobacillaceae. The record is from RNAcentral.
GUCGACGCGUUGGCCCAAUUGAUUGAUGGUGCUUGCACCUGAUUGAUUUUGGUGGCCAACGAGUGGCGGACGGGUGAGUAACACGUAGGUAACCUGCCCAGAAGCGGGGGACAACAUUUGGAAACAGAUGCUAAUACCGCAUAACAACGUUGUUCGCAUGAACAACGCUUAAAAGAUGGCUUCUCGCUAUCACUUCUGGAUGGACCUGCGGUGCAUUAGCUUGUUGGUGGGGUAAUGGCCUACCAAGGCGAUGAUGCAUAGCCGAGUUGAGAGACUGAUCGGCCACAAUGGGACUGAGACACGGCCCAUACUCCUACGGGAGGCAGCAGUAGGGAAUCUUCCACAAUGGGCGCAAGCCUGAUGGAGCAACACCGCGUGAGUGAAGAAGGGUUUCGGCUCGUAAAGCUCUGUUGUUAAAGAAGAACACGUAUGAGAGUAACUGUUCAUACGUUGACGGUAUUUAACCAGAAAGUCACGGCUAACUACGUGCCAGCAGCCGCGGUAAUACGUAGGUGGCAAGCGUUAUCCGGAUUUAUUGGGCGUAAAGAGAGUGCAGGCGGUUUUCUAAGUCUGAUGUGAAAGCCUUCGGCUUAACCGGAGAAGUGCAUCGGAAACUGGAUAACUUGAGUGCAGAAGAGGGUAGUGGAACUCCAUGUGUAGCGGUGGAAUGCGUAGAUAUAUGGAAGAACACCAGUGGCGAAGGCGGCUACCUGGUCUGCAACUGACGCUGAGACUCGAAAGCAUGGGUAGCGAACAGGAUUAGAUACCCUGGUAGUCCAUGCCGUAAACGAUGAGUGCUAGGUGUUGGAGGGUUUCCGCCCUUCAGUGCCGGAGCUAACGCAUUAAGCACUCCGCCUGGGGAGUACGACCGCAAGGUUGAAACUCAAAGGAAUUGACGGGGGCCCGCACAAGCGGUGGAGCAUGUGGUUUAAUUCGAAGCUACGCGAAGAACCUU